CAUCACAGCUACAGAGACGCCAGAUCCAAGCUGCAUCUGUGACUUACACCACAGCUCAUGGCAACACCAGAUCCUUAACCCACUGAGUGAGGCCAGGGAUUGAACCCUCAUCCUCAUGGAUACUAUUUGGCUUCAUUACUGCUGAGCCACAAUGUGAAUUUCCUGGUCUAACUUUUAAAACAAAGAAAUAGGAAAAAAAAAUCACAAUGUAGAAAAUGAGUUGUAUUUUUAUUUCAGGCUCACGUUGAAUAUAAAUCUCUGGGAUUCCUGCUGAUAGUCCAGUGGUUAAUUUUACUGCGUCGAUAUCCAAGCCAACUAUUGUUAUGAUAAUCCCCUAUGUCUUAGAGCUUGAAACAGGGUAAGGAAAAGAGCAGAGCUGUGGACAGCACUGGGGUGGGACAGGCAGCUUGGCAAGGAUCCAUCCAGGAAGGGGAGGACAGGUCUGAGUGGGUGGGGAGGGGUGAGAAAGGUUACCGACCUUGCACGUCAGCUAGUUCUGCAGUGGCUGUGGAAGAAAGAGCCCCCUGCCUCACCCAGUUCCAGGUAGCCCAGUCUGCCAUCUAGGCCUUUCCUGGCAUGUGGCCUGCUUUCUGCUCCCUGUCCUUACCUUUCCAACCUAAUGCUCAGUUCAGCUAGUGUUCUUUCCUUGGGCCCUGCA
RNAcentral lists this long non-coding RNA (658 nucleotides) under Sus scrofa (pig). Its description in RNAcentral is "lncRNA (ENSSSCG00045001837.1)". Lineage: Eukaryota; Metazoa; Chordata; Mammalia; Artiodactyla; Suidae. The record is from RNAcentral.